Long non-coding RNA from Acinonyx jubatus (cheetah), 9050 nucleotides. RefSeq lists it as uncharacterized. The record is from RefSeq and is a predicted model, not a curated record. The transcript has 2 exons. Lineage: Eukaryota; Metazoa; Chordata; Mammalia; Carnivora; Felidae.
UUGCCACUACAUUUCAGCCUUGCAUACACAGGUUGCCUGAAUACAUUGUGUAGGUCACACUAUUUCUACUGGCACUGGAGCUAGAGAAUUUGGGUCUGAAGGAUGAGAAAUGUCCCUACACCCAUGAAACAGAAUUCCCUGCUUAUUGGCAGCAGUGUCCUUCCAAGUCCUGCCUGUAUUCAGAGGGGAGAAUGUCUGGGACCGUUAAAUACCGAAGCAUUGGCAAAAAAGCUCCCUAUCCAGUGACCAAUUCAGCCCCUGUAGAUAACACUUCUUAGAAUAGACACUGGUAUCUAGACCCGCCUGUCAGGACGGCACCAUGGACGAAUGCCGCAGCGUAUGGCCUAAUAAAACCAUCCAGAGACGAGAUGAGUGUUCAGCAAAAUUUGUGUGAGCUCUUUCUGUAUCGAGUCCCUUUUCCUCUCUGAUACCUGUCUAUAUGUUGUGCAGCUGUUGGCUGUCCCUCUGCUACCUACCUAUAAUUGAUCUUCUGAAUCACCUAAAUCUGUUAUCAGUUAUUUUUCUGCAAUGUAAAUCUGAUCAUGGUACUCCUAUGCCCAGAGCUUUUCAAUGGCUUCCCACUGGCUAUAGGAUGAAAUCCCUCCCCCUUUGUACGGCAAGGAGAGGCUGUCAUGACCUAGAUCCUGUUCUCUGUUUAAUUCUUCCUCCCCCCACCUCCACCCCUAGCAUUUUAUAGUUUGUAAGAUCUAAACUAACUCCCCCACCCCCCCACCUCCUCAAACAGAAUUGUGCUGUUAUAGCUCUUUCUGUGCCUUUGCACACACAGUCCACACCCUUGGAAUAUACUUUUUUUUUUUUUUCUGUUAAGAUAUAUGGAGGCUCUUUCUACUAGACUUAUGCGCCCCCUGCCAAACAAUUAUACUAUGGUAACUUUCCAGUCUCCAUUCUCUUUAUAAGGUUUUGAGAGCAAGUCUGUAUCUUUUCAUUUUGUUUUAGCCUCAGCCUCUAGUAGAGUGUCACAUCCACUCACUAAAUAUUUACUGCCUUGUAAGGGAACAGUAGAAACAGUGGUAAACAGGCAAGGCUCCUGCUCUUAAGGAAUUUAUUUAUAUUCUAAUGUGUGUGUGUGGCACUAAAUAAGUAAGCAAACAUGAUGACCCCUCAUAAGAGGUGAAGAGGAAAUAGAAAGGAUCAGAUAGUAGGGGAGGGUGGUCGUGGUAGUAGAGGGAAGCACUAAUUUAGAAAGAGGGUUUGGGGGAAAGUCUCACUGAGAAGGCGGUAUCUGAGCUAAGGUCUGAAGUAUGACCAUCCUAACAGAGAGUUUGGGGCAGUGUUGAAAGCAGAGGAGAGAGCAAAUGCAACGCACCCUGAGAUGGCAAAGAACUUAACAUGUUAAAGGAACAGAGAGAACACUAGUGUGGGUGGAGUGCAAAGGGAGAGUGUGGUUCGAGAUGUGUUUAGGGCGAUAGGUAGGAGGCUGACCAUGGAGGCUCUUGUCUACUUCAGGUAUUCUUGAGUUGAAUGUGUCAUCUAACUAUGCAUAUGUCGGUUGUCCUCAUCCUCCAGCACGGCGUGAGGCUCUGCUUCUCCCCAGCUGUGUUCCCACUGAACCUCAUAGCACAGCAAUAAGAACAAGAGGGUCAUACAUUUCUCCAGUUUUCUCGGUGGAAUUGCACCAGAUUUGGAAACAUUAAGGGAAUCAACUUGUUUUCAGUGUUUGGUCUUCUAAGCAGGCCUUUGACAGGAGCCAUGUCAUAAUGAAUUCAGGAUGAUGUGAAUGACGAUGGCAGAGGAACUAGACUAAGUACACUUCGUGGAGCUCUCUAGGUAAUAGCCAGGACAGAGCUCCUUUCUUUUGCCCCUGGCCUUCGUCUCCAUCUGAAGCAGUGACCUAAAAAAUGAAAGAAAAGCUCCCAAGUUCAGUGAUGAGUUCACUCCCUACACCAGCAGAAAGUUAGUGCAGAACCCAGUGCAAAGACCACAAGUGAACUCUAGAAAUUUAACUACCUUUUUUUCCAAGAUGGUAAUUGGAGAUAUAUAUAUAUAUAUAUAUAUAUAUAUAUAUAUAUAUAUGAGCACUGAAGGAUGUAACUGCUGAUUGAAGAAUCUAAAAGGCUUCAAAAUAACAGGGAAGUGGACUACACAUUCUUCUUCCAGCUGCUGCUGUUCACAACACAUUGACAGUUAAAAUACAUCACACAUUCUCUUGUCCUUUCAAUGUAAACAUUUACUGUUUUAAGUGGACUAUAGAAUCAAACCGAAAUAGAAGGAUGAAGACUGAUAUCUCAGAGGUGAAACUAAACACUGGACUAAAUUAAAGAAAAGUAAUUUGCAAUCCAACUCAUAGUUACAUAUCGUACGUUACUCUGUGUUCUGGGGAAAGAUUAGACAGAGGCUUUCGUUGCUUGCUUUGCUUUUACAACCUGUUACCAGAAGGGAAUUCCGUACAGAACAGACAAAAUUUUGAAUUAGGAUUAAAUUCGGAAAAAAAAAAAAAUGGAACAUGUUGUGAAGGAAGGAUAGCCUUCUUGAUGUUGAUUUCCUACCAUGCCUCAGCAUUGUUUGAAGUCAAGAAACAAUACCAUCUCCAGUUUGUGUUGUUGUUGAUCUCCCCAGGAAAAAUGUGACCUCCUUCCUUCUCUUUACAUUGGCAUCUGGCCCAUGCCUCUACCUUCAACUCUUAUAACUUCUUUCAAAUUGUAUUAACUUUGAAGUCUAAGAGCCUUCAAAAUGACCCACGUUUGAAUCCCGGGCCAACUCGAUCUUUUUUUAUUUUAAUAUGGAUACGAAAUGUUGCUUAAAACCCCAGUAGUGAAAAGUAUGGCAUCCUAUAGAAUGUCACACCAUAUAAAAAAAUUCUGGUGUCCUUCCUUGAGGUUAGUGUUACCCUGAAAGGGAAAAAUUACGAAUGAAUAUAGGUUCACGUUGGUCCAAUUUCCUGUUUUGCUUUAAAUUUUCCUGUACAACACAUAAAUUUAUCAAACUCCUCUCCUGGUGACAAUACUUCAUUAGAUUACUUUAGUGAGUAUUGAGGAGAUUUUAAUCUUAUGAGUCAUAAAAUUCUUUUAUUCCCCAGAGAAUUUCCUGUGUCUGCCUGGAAUUUCGUGUCUUUGUAGUUUUAGCUGGACUCCUUGAAGCAGUUACUCUCUAAAUGACUGUGCUCUUGAGGUCUGUGUGUAAUACCUGGGGAGCCGGGUCACAGAUUGACUCCUGCUUUUCAAGAAAAUUGAAAAAUUAAUCCCUUUCACUGCCUUAGUCUUAGUAACUGUAUUCAGACAUUUUCUUAAACUUUUUAACCUCUUCCUCUCGUGAUGGAGAUGUUUUUACUUGCUGCUCCUGCAGUUCCCAGCAUUAAUCUUUAUGUGCCCACUUGGGCCUGCUUUUGUCUGUUUCUGUGAAUACAUCCCGGUGACUUGAUGUUGUUGGGUUGCUCGCCUGUCCCAUCAGGUUUUCAUCACUCACUUGGUGUAAAGGAAAAGGAGAUAGAGUUACAAAUAUAUUGGACCAUUUAGUAAUUGAUGAGACAUGCCUUUGGGUAUUCUUUUUUUUUCUUUUCUCUUUCCUUUUCUUUCUUUCUUUCUUUCUUUCUUUCUUUCUUUCUUUCUUUCUUUCUUUCUUUCUUCUUUUAUAAGCUCUUUUUGAAGAAGGUGAAAGUCAGGUUAUAGUGAGGCAGAACCCUGUGUGUUCUCAUCUGAAGGGUCCAGGGAAGUAAAGAUGAUACUUUUUGACAUUUGAGUUUCAGAAAUUCUUGGUGAUUAUUGCGAGCACACACUUCGCUAAUGUGAGCAGCGUCAUCUGCGUGUGCACGUCUCUGUGUGUUUUAAAAGAUAAUGCCGAGCAGUGUUCUGAUAAUAAAUGGCAGCUGAGCAUGCACAGAGACAACUGACGUCUAAGUCUGGAUAUGCUGUUUGGCAAGAUUCAUCUAUCAUGGGACAAAUGAAAAAUGUAAGGCUAGUAGAACAUUGACACUAACAAAUUAUUCAGAAGUUGAUUACUAGGAAAUCUUUUACUAGACUUCAAUAUGUUUGGUGCCUUUAAGGACAAAUCUAGAGUUUUAUCCAAAAAGCUAGGUACUUGUAUAAUACUUCUUUCAUGGCUACUUUCUCAUUUUUCAGCACAAGGCUUUUUCAAAAAUUUGAAGUCAGUAAAAGAAGGGAUUCUAUUUAUAAAGCAUAAAAGCAUAUAUGUACCAGGUUAGUGUUUUACUUGGUUGAUUAGUAUAUGAUUUAUUUUUAGAGUAGAGAAAAAAUCAAUGCAAUAAUUACUUGCUAUUUAUAUAUACAUACAGAAGAUAUAAGUCCUUGGAAUGUAGCACACAUUAUCAUUGCAUAAUCUAUAUCCAUAUGCUGUUUAUAACAAGCUGAAAUGUUAGACCCAUGAGAAAAGAACCAGAUUCUGGCACAGGACUGUUUUGUGGUAAAGAAAGAGGAAUGGAUUCCAAAAUAAUAUAUAUAUAUAUAUAUAUAUAUAUAUAUUUUUUUUUUUUUUUUUUUUUUUUUUUUUUUAAAGCUUGAUGGUUCCAUAGUAAAACAAGAGAGCUGACAUGGGGUUUGGAGAUAUAUACGUUAGCAUAAGCUGAUACUGAAAGCAGUUAAUUCCCUUCUUCGUCUGUGUGCUCCUCCAGCUCUUCUGAUCCUGACUUAGGUAAAUGCACUGGCUCACCUACAUAACAGGUGGAGAAGGAAAAAAGAUGUCUGGCAUUGUAACCUCUCCCCAGCCUCUUCCCUCAUCCGCUGAUGCGGUCCUUCCUUAACAGUCGUUUUUCCUAACAGAAGCAGCUCUGUGUUAGCCAGUGACACAGUGGUUGGAGUCUGUUGCCUUAGUGGCUGUAAGCAUGUCGCUAAUGAUGCUAGGGCCACACGCUUGAUUGCCAGUGUGAGUAUUUCGAUACAGUCAGAAGGCCUUUGUCCAGACAUCUAUUGUUCCCCACACCCUUUCUUAUAUAAAUUUGAGAUGAGGAGAUGUGUGAAUAUGGAAAUGACCCAUUAAAAAUAUGUUCUGAACUCAUUAGAAUGGCUACUAUUAAGAAACAAAAAACAAAAUAAGGAGUGUUGGAAAGGAUGUGGAGAAAUCGGCAACUACUAGUAAGAAUGUAAAACGGUGCAGCUGGUAAUGGAAAACUGUACAGCAAUUCAUAGCAACUCCACGUUUAGGUAUGAACUCAAACGAAUUGAAAGGGACUUGAACAGGUAUAUUUGUACACCAGUGUUCACAGCAGCAUUAUUCACAGUAGCCAAAAGAUAGAAACGGCUGAAACACCCGCUGAAAGAUGAGUGGGUAAACAGACUAAGCUAUAUACCUAAAAUGGAGUGUUAUUCAGCCUUAAAAACAGGUGAAAUUCUGAUACAUGCCACAACACUGAUGAAUCUUGAAAACAUUAUGCUAAGUGAAAUAAGCCAGGCACAAAAGGACAAAUAUUAUACGAUUCCGUUUAUAUGAGGUACCUAGAGUAGUUAAAUUCAUAAAGACCUAGAGUCCUGGAGACAGAAAGUAGAACGGCAGUUACUAGGGAUCGGGGCAGAGGGGGUUUGCCGGGGGGAGGUACUGUUUAAUUGGGUACAAAGUUUCAGUUUGGGAAGAUAAAAAAAUUCUGGGAGAUGGUUAGUGGUGAUGGUUGCCCGACAGAUAAUAUGUACUUAAUGCCACUGAACUGUAUACUUACAAAUGAUUAAAAUGAUAAAUUUUAUAUUAUGCAUAUUUUACUACUAUAUAUACAUAUAUAUGAAAAACAAGAAAAAACAUAUGCCUGUGUGUCUAUCUACUCUGUUCUUAAUGCUCCCCGAUACCACUUCACUUCUGAUACCAGACAUGUGGGUUUUCCACGUAUGAAGCAAUUCUGCACCCCCUGGGUAUCUUACUAUUUGACUCAAUUCUAACAUUGUCUACCUGGAGUUAAUAUCACAUCCCGCAUGUUGGUUAAGGGGUCAGUCCCACAAGACUCCCCCAGCCCCCACCUCCUCUUCAGAUGCCAAUUACAAGGCCAAGUUGUUGUUACCUGUGCUUUUGAUGGACCUAUAGCUAUAAGUUGAAGGUUCCUCUAACCUCCUCCUCAGGUUUCAUUAAUUUGUUAGAGCGGCUCACAGAACUCAGGAAGAAGUUUUCUUACUAGAUGCCCAUUUUGUCGUAAAGGAAUGUAACUCAAGAACAGCCGGGUGGAAGAGAUGCGCAGGGUGUUUAUGUGGGAAGCUCGUGCAAAGCUUCUAUGACCUCUCUGGGAGCGUGACUCUCUCAGCACUUCCUCAUGUUGAUCAACCUGCAAGACUUAACCCAAUCUACAGAGCCUUCCCCUCCCAGGAAUGUUGGGAGUUUCAACUGUCUAAUCACAAGGUUGGUUCUUGUGGCAACCAGCCCCCAUCCUUAUGUCACCUAGGGGCUUUCCAAAAGUCAUCUCAUUAACAUAGACUCAGGUGUGGUUGACAGGGGCUUGUUAUGAAUAACAAAAGACACGUUUGUCACUGUAAUCACUUAGGAAAUUCCAAGAUUUUUAGGAGUCUGUGCCAAGAGGGGGCAAAGACCAAACACUGCAUAUAUUUCUUAUGACAAGUAGAAUUACCAGUCUACCACCUAAUCUUCAAACCUGGAUCCCUUACAGCAAAACAAUCAUAAAAGUCAAAAGGUACUGACAUAUUACUAAGAUCUCAUUUAAUCGUUAAGAAUAAUGUAGGUCAGGGACUCCUGGGUGGCUCAGUCGGUUAAGCAUCAUGAUCUCAGGGUUCAGUUCUUGAGAUGGAACGCCAUGCCCCACGUAAGCCCAGAGCUUGCUUGGGAUUCUCUCUCCCUCUUUCUCUGCCCCUCCCCUGCUUGUGCUCUCUCUCUUUCUCAAAAUAAAUCAAUAAAUUAAAAAAAAAAAGAAUAAAUGUGUGUCCCAGGGAGAGACCACUUAGGCUUGCAUUGUUUCCAGCGGGAUCCUGUCAGGAACAGGAGUGAAGACAAAAUAUGUAUUGCUUAUAAAUCACAAUAUCACCGUAUAUAAAUAUAUAUUAUCUAAUGUUAUUUAUCUUCACUAUUAUUGAAUAGUUUUUAUUUUUAAAAGUACUCUCUAAGAGUUUUUUCAAACCAUCGUAAUUAGAGAUUAAAGAUGAGGAAGUUAGACUGAGCUACAACCGGCAAGAUGAAAAGAUAUGUGUUCCUUCCCUACCUUCCCAAAUCCUAAUUAAAAUAACCAAAGUAAUGUGAAAGGACUUCCUAAACUUUGAGAAUUCCUGCCAGAUAAGGUAGAUGAGGAUGUGAUUAAUGGAUGAUACCAGGGGAAGAUUUGUCAUUCUCCCUUAUGAGAAAGUGGUAUGGUUGUAAGUUAGAGGCGAUCCCGUCCGAACCUAAAUAAUACUUCUGAACUGGAGAGUUGUGAGAACUUAAAGGCCAGGGUAGUGCUCACAACAGGUGGGGAACCUUCCAUUUUGGAAAUCCUUCACUACUAUGGAGCAAUUAAAUUCAAAAGCAGUUGAAUGCGUUAGGUCUAAAGGCAACUGUCAUUGUACGAUAUAGGUAAGAAUUAGAACCUAUCCUUGCUGGACCAGGCAGUAACCAGCAUUCAGAUGGCCACCAGUCACAGUCCCUUCAUAUACUUGGGUAGGAGGACCGGCCACAGAGUAAAUUCCAUGUGGGAAAAAUGGUCCCUGGUCCCUGGCAUAAAAGAUUGGCCAAAGUCAGCGAAAAGUAUAGAAAGAUAGAUGUCCGCAAGGAGGACAACCUGUAACACCUGCCCCCUCCUGUUUCCUCAAUGUACUGGAUCACUGACCUGGUCGUACAAAGAUGAAUGAGGUCUUCAGCUCUCUGUGUAAGAGGAGACUCGUAACAGCACUUAGGUGGACAUUGAAAGGAUUGAAGAGGAAUAUAUGUUCAUGAUGGUUUGGGGCCGAUAGCAGGCCAAAGUGCACUUCUUUCAUUUGGUGUGGGAAGCAGAAAAUGAAUAAGCGUGGAACUACAAAAUAUUUGGCAGUGUGAGCAAAUGAAAAUAACAAAGCUCUGGGGAAAAGCAUACAUGUUAAAAAAUAUUUUUAUUGAAAAAAUAUUUGCGCUCUCAGUGAGAGAUAAAAAAAGUCUUUAUAAAAGAGAUGAAAGAUGAAAUGUCAUCACAGACCGAGAUGUAACACAGCUGGUAGAACGAAGAAAAUCCUGCAAGGAAACUAACCAUGUUGUAGCUGAAUUGAAAACUUCAUUAGAAGCAGUGAAGAAGCAAAUUGAAUCUCUUAAAUAUAUGCAUAGUAAUCUGGAGAGCCACCUGACAAACUAUUUUGUAAUGCUGAGGAAAAAGAAAAAAUAAUUGAAGAGUUUCGGUCCUAAGAUGACAGACAUAGAUGACAGAAAACAGUGAUGCAACAGAGCAAGUGAUUUUCCUCAGGAAGAGAGUGGAAAAGACAAAACAGCAAAGAAAAGAACGGUAAGAGGUAUAUUAAGAAAGAUAGGAACUGCAUGUUUCAAAGACCACAUUUACUGUGUUCCUGCUAGAAUUGGUGAAACAAUACCAGCAUCUAGACAUCCAGCAUUCAGGUAAAACAAAAAGGAGUACUCACGAAAAUAUAUUCUAAGCAUCUAAACAGAGAAAGGAAGUCUCUGAAGGAACAACAAUCAGUUCUGUCCCAGACAUCAUCUCAGCCUUGUCCAUCAAAAGACAGAUGGGGACCCCUGGGUGGCUCAGUCGGUUUGAGCAUCCACCUUCCGCUCGGGUCAUGGUCUCCCAGUUUGUGAGUUCGAGCCCCACAUCGGGCUCUGUGCUGACAGCUCAGAACCUGGAGCCUGCUUUGGAUUCUCUCUCUCUCUCUCUCUCUCUCUCUCUCUCUCUCCCUCCCUCCCUCCCCUGCUCAUGCUCUGCCUCUCUCUAUUUGUCAAAAAUAAAUAAAUGUUAAAAAAAAAAAAAAGACAGAUGGGCUGCCUGGGUGACUGAGUCAGUUGAGUGUCUGAAUUUGGCUCAGGUCAUGAUCUCACAUUUUGUCAGUUGAAGCCCUGCAUCAGGCUUGCUGCUGUCAGUGCAGAGCCUGCUUCAGGUCUUCUGUUCCCCCCCUCUCUCUGCACUUCCCCGACUCACACACACACACACACACACACACACACACACACACACACCCCAACCCCCCCCCCCCGCCCCCGCC